GACGUAGGGUCCGAGCGUUGUCCGGAAUUACUGGGCGUAAAGAGCUCGUAGGUGGUUUGUCGCGUUGUUCGUGAAAACUCACAGCUUAACUGUGGGCGUGCGGGCGAUACGGGCAGACUGGAGUACUGCAGGGGAGACUGGAAUUCCUGGUGUAGCGGUGGAAUGCGCAGAUAUCAGGAGGAACACCGGUGGCGAAGGCGGGUCUCUGGGCAGUAACUGACGCUGAGGAGCGAAAGCGUGGGGGAGCGAACAGG
This 254-nucleotide ribosomal RNA is filed under the name uncultured bacterium. RNAcentral describes it as "partial 16S ribosomal RNA". It matches the Rfam family "Bacterial small subunit ribosomal RNA", at positions 524 to 776 of the family's 1533-position model. The record is from RNAcentral.